This 520-nucleotide ribosomal RNA is filed under the name uncultured Glomeraceae. RNAcentral's name for it is "SSU rRNA". It matches the Rfam family "Eukaryotic small subunit ribosomal RNA", at positions 569 to 1092 of the family's 1831-position model. Lineage: Eukaryota; Fungi; Glomeromycota; Glomeromycetes; Glomerales; Glomeraceae. The record is from RNAcentral.
AGCAGCCGCGGUAAUUCCAGCUCCAAUAGCGUAUAUUAAAGUUGUUGCAGUUAAAAAGCUCGUAGUUGAAUUUCGGGGUCAGUAGGCUGGUCAUGCCACAGGUAUGUACUGGUCUCACUGAUUCCUCCUUCCUGAUGAACCGUAAUGCCAUUAAUUUGGUGUUGCGGGGAAACUGGACUGUUACUUUGAAAAAAUUAGAGUGUUUAAAGCAGGCUAACGCUUGAAUACAUUAGCAUGGAAUAAUGAAAUAGGACGUUCGAUCCUAUUUUGUUGGUUUCUAGGAUUGACGUAAUGAUUAAUAGGGAUAGUUGGGGGCAUUAGUAUUCAAUUGUCAGAGGUGAAAUUCUUGGAUUUAUUGAAGACUAACUACUGCGAAAGCAUUUGCCAAGGAUGUUUUCAUUAAUCAAGAACGAAAGUUAGGGGAUCGAAGACGAUCAGAUACCGUCGUAGUCUUAACCAUAAACUAUGCCGACUAGGGAUCGGAUGAUGUUAUUUUUAAUGACUCAUUCGGCGCCUUACG